UUGUUGCAGUUAAAAGCUCGUAGUUGGAUUUCGGAAGGUCCUUAGUAAUCCGCCCCUUCGGGGAGCGGGUUACUGGCCUCCUAUGUUCCUAACGGUCCUCAUCCGCGAGGGUGGGGAAUCAACCGCUAGGAUCGUUUACUUUGAGGAAAUUAGAGUGUUCAAAGCAGGCGUAACUCGCCUCCGAAUACGUUAGCAUGGGAUAAUGGAAUACGACUUCGGUCUUGUUUCGUUGGUUUCGCUUGGCUGAAGUAAUGAUUGAUAGGGACAGUUGGGGGCAUUAGUAUUUAGUUGUCAGAGGUGAAAUUCUAGGAUUUACUAAAGACUGACCAAUGCGAAAGCAUUUGCCAAGGAUGUUUUCAUUAAUCAAGAACGAAAGUAGGGGGAUCGAAGACGAUCAGAUACCGUCGUAGUCUCUACCGUAAACUAUGCCGACCAGGGAUCCGGAGAGUUUGCAUGGAUGACUCCCCGGGCACCUUGUGAGAAAUCAUAAGUGUUUGGGUUUUGGGGGGAGUAUGGUCGCAAGGCUGAAACUUAAAGGAAUUGACGGAAGGGCACCACCAGGAGUGGAACCUGCGGCUUAAUUUGA
Molecule: ribosomal RNA, 586 nt
Filed under: Vermamoeba vermiformis
Lineage: Eukaryota; Tubulinea; Echinamoebida; Vermamoebidae
Description: SSU rRNA
Rfam family: Eukaryotic small subunit ribosomal RNA
Source: RNAcentral